This is a non-coding RNA of Acanthosepion pharaonis, 99 nucleotides long. The record is from the annotation of a GenBank genome assembly. Lineage: Eukaryota; Metazoa; Mollusca; Cephalopoda; Sepiida; Sepiidae.
UCUGAAAAACCGGUUUCCGUACGGUCACCGAAAUUAAGCAACGUUGAGCCUGCCCAGCAGCAUGAUGGGUAACCGCUCGGGAAUACCAGAUGUUGUAGG